UCACACUUGAAAGUAACAAGUCCGACUCAGAUGAUGAUGAGCAGCAGAUGGAGCUUGCUGAAGAAAUGGAGAAUGAAAUUUGCAGAGUUGGGGAUAUGUCCAUGGAUGAGGAUGUGGCUUUAUUUCUCCAAGAAUUUAAGGCUCCUGACAUAUUCAUGGGAGUGCUGGCCAAAUCCAGGUGCCCCCGAUUAAGAUUUCUGGCCUGGAUAUCUGACACUCUGUCUGGAGCUGGAG
This is a long non-coding RNA of Peromyscus eremicus (cactus mouse), 234 nucleotides long. RefSeq lists it as uncharacterized. Lineage: Eukaryota; Metazoa; Chordata; Mammalia; Rodentia; Cricetidae. The transcript has 3 exons. The record is from RefSeq and is a predicted model, not a curated record.